GACCACGUGCAGUCAGUCGCUAUGCCGUGCCUCGAGCCAGCGCUGAGUGGAGCCUGUCUGCCAACAGCUUCAGCAGCGGCUCUAUCUGGAUUCUACUUCACUCACUGACAAUUAAAGGAAGGCCCCCCUUUCUUCUCAUUUUCAAGGAUUAUUCGUCACCAUGGGCGACAAAAAGAGCCCUACCAGGCCAAAAAGACAAGCCAAACAGACGGCGGACGACGGCUACUGGGACUGUAGCGUGUGCACCUUCAAGAACACCGCCGAGGCUUUCAAAUGCAGCAUCUGUGAUGUGAGGAAGGGCACAUCCACAAGCCCUAGAUGUCCCAGGCGUUUUCCCCCCUGAACUUGAUGCAGGGUAGGACUCUGCAACGUCACCACAAAGCGCCUUCGCUUAUGGGAAACUAAGCUUCAAAAACACGGGUGUGUCGCGAUGGGAUUCCCUUUCGCUUCUUGCGUAUGGCAACACCUACUCCCGCUCUGGGGAAUGUUUUCUGGUGAUGAGUCGCCUGUGCCACGGCUCACUCGCAUCACCAGUUGCAUGUUGAUAGAGACAGAUGAGUCAUGUGUGGUUUUGUUCACAAGCCCUCCGCUCUAACUUUUUUUUUUUUGUCUUUUUUUUUUUAAGCUGUGGUUUUUACAAUAAGUGGCUUGACUGACGUCACACAAAACAGGGGAGCGACCCACGUAACUGCUUCACGGUGAACGCAGUAGAUGGAGUUCGAUCUUUUUUGUCUGACUCUCCUCACCUCCAUGCUGUCUUUCCAGCUGCAAAUAACUUAAGAUACAACUCACAACUCUGGCUGAGCUCGCUCACAGGGAAGAAGGAAGCUAGCGUAUCUCGGUCUCUGUGUUUUGGCUCUGGGCUAUUUCUCUUGUUUUUUGGGGAACAUGGGAGCACUUGACAUCACUGCAGCGCCUUUCACAAACUCCCGUUUGCCCCUUGAUUAAUAUGGCUGUGUUAUCGUAGGGCUGCCUCUUUUUCUAAGAACCAAUUAGCCAGCUUUUCCUCUCCAUUUGAUGUGUUCAGACUAAGCAAGAUGCUCUUAGCUAAAUACUUCACACUUUAAGGCUGUGUGGAUAUUUUGUCCACCAUUUUUGUCCGAGUAUGAAUUCACGUAUUAAGUCACAAGUGUUUGCUAAUUUCACUUUAUCAGAAAUAGAACAGUCAUAAUAAAAACAUUUGCCAGAUGAUAAAUUGUCCCAGAUGUUACUGUGAUAAACAAUAACAUUGCUGUUUUGAGACCUUUUUCAAGUAAUUUUAUGGUAGUUGCGUAAUAAUGCAAGAGUUUAAUUAACUUUAAAUUCUAAUGAACAUUGUAACAUCUAAAAUAUUUCAAACAUCCAAAAUAAAAAAAAUAAAAAACAGAAACAACACAUAAAAUUAACUAUGAAAUCUCUGUAAACAAAAUCAUCCUUGGGGAGGGGAGAAGGCUGGUUGAACCAGACUGAAGGGAGAAUGAGAAAAACAAUAAAUUUUGCAGAUGGAAAUUAUUAAGCUAGUUUUAAUUUAUCAUGCAAUUAACUGAUUUGUUGCUUAUUAUGACAGGCCUAAUUGUGACCAACAGUAUCAGAAUUUCAGGAAGUUUUCUUGCUAGUUUUCCUGCCAGUUGCACAUGAUGUUAAAAUUAGCUGAAGUUUGGCCAGUUUCAAUUAUAAAUUCUACUGGACGGUACAAUUUCCAAGAAGUUAUUGCAAUAACCAAUAAUAUUGUUCUGAGACCAUUUUCAACUAAUAUAAUAAUAAUGGUUUAUUAAUACAAGACCACCCUCUAAAAGAUAAAAAAAAAAAA
Poecilia latipinna (sailfin molly) is the source of this 1789-nucleotide long non-coding RNA. RefSeq lists it as uncharacterized. The record is from RefSeq and is a predicted model, not a curated record. Lineage: Eukaryota; Metazoa; Chordata; Actinopteri; Cyprinodontiformes; Poeciliidae. The transcript is spliced from 3 exons.